This 253-nucleotide ribosomal RNA is filed under the name uncultured bacterium. RNAcentral's name for it is "partial 16S ribosomal RNA". It matches the Rfam family "Bacterial small subunit ribosomal RNA", at positions 524 to 776 of the family's 1533-position model. The record is from RNAcentral.
GACGUACCACCCAAACGUUAUUCGGAAUCACUGGGCUUAAAGAGUCCGUAGGCGGCCUGGAAAGUUGGGUGUGAAAUACCUCAGCUCAACUGAGGAAUGGCGCUCAAAACUACCUGGCUCGAGAAAGACAGAGGUGAGCGGAACUGAUGGUGGAGCGGUGAAAUGCAUUGAUAUCAUCAGGAACACCGGUGGCGAAAGCGGCUCACUGGGUCUUUUCUGACGCUGAGGGACGAAAGCUAGGGGAGCGAACGGG